AUUGAACGCUGGCGGCAUGCUUUACACAUGCAAGUCGAGCGGUAACAGGCCUUCGGGUGCUGACGAGUGGCGAACGGGUGAGUAAUGCAUCGGAACGUACCCAGAGGUGGGGGAUAACGCAGCGAAAGCUGUGCUAAUACCGCAUGUGAUCUGAGGAUGAAAGCGGGGGACCUAGCAGCAAUGUUUGGCCUCGCGCCUUUGGAGCGGCCGAUGUCGGAUUAGCUAGUUGGUGGGGUAAAGGCCUACCAAGGCGACGAUCCGUAGCUGGUCUGAGAGGACGACCAGCCACACUGGGACUGAGACACGGCCCAGACUCCUACGGGAGGCAGCAGUGGGGAAUUUUGGACAAUGGGCGCAAGCCUGAUCCAGCAAUGCCGCGUGCGGGAAGAAGGCCUUCGGGUUGUAAACCGCUUUUGGCAGGAACGAAACGGUGUCCGCUAAUACCGGGCGCUAAUGACGGUACCUGCAGAAUAAGCACCGGCUAACUACGUG
This 492-nucleotide ribosomal RNA is filed under the name uncultured bacterium. RNAcentral's name for it is "partial 16S ribosomal RNA". It matches the Rfam family "Bacterial small subunit ribosomal RNA", at positions 30 to 507 of the family's 1533-position model. The record is from RNAcentral.